RNAcentral lists this ribosomal RNA (434 nucleotides) under uncultured eukaryote. RNAcentral describes it as "partial 18S ribosomal RNA". It matches the Rfam family "Eukaryotic small subunit ribosomal RNA", at positions 538 to 912 of the family's 1831-position model. The record is from RNAcentral.
CGAGGAACAAUUGGAGGGCUAAGUCUGGUGCCAGCAGCCGCGGUAAUUCCAGCUCCAAUAGUGUAUAUUAAAGUUGCUGCGGUUAAAAAGCUCGUAGUUGGAUUUCGGAGUUGUUAUCUGAACCUUCUCGCCCUAAAAAGUGGGGGGCUAGGUAGCAGUAGUUUUCAUCAUAGUCCAUCAGGAUACUCUCUUGAUGUGUACUGGGGUGUUAACCUCCUUUUUUUUCUGGUACUUGCUAUCCAGCAAUGGGUAGUUUUGUCCAGAUAGUUUACUUUGAAAAAAUUAGAGUGUUCAAAGCAGGCAUAAUUGGCAUCAUGAAUACAUUAGCAUGGGAUAAUAGAAUAUGACAUUGGUCUUAUUUUGUUGGUUUUCUAAGGCCAAAGUAAUGAUUGAUAGGGAUAGUUGGGGGCCGCUCGUAUUGAGUUGUCAGAGGU